UAUCGCAGGAUUCAACUCAAAACGAUUUAAUCUUUCGCCUUUUACUAAAGAUUACCGUGAGUUGGAUCUUAGUUGCGAUUUGACACUUUUUUUGUAGGUGACUUUAAGCCACC
Blepharisma stoltei is the source of this 113-nucleotide non-coding RNA. The record is from the annotation of a GenBank genome assembly. Lineage: Eukaryota; Ciliophora; Heterotrichea; Heterotrichida; Blepharismidae.